AAGGAUAUCAGUUCUCUUUUUUGCUUUCAAUAUCUCCAAGGCUUCUGUCAUCAUGGCCUGCGACUUGUUUUGUGUUGGUCUUAUUAUUUUUGUUUCGUUCCGGUGGAUUCGUGCGUCUUCGUGUAUGCUUCCGCGGCCAGUGCUGUGCUGGCGUUGGUUUUUUCAGUGUCUUUCUUGUGUUCACGUGGUCUUUCUGCUAAGGUUCUGCUGGUGACACCUAUGUGGGGUGUGUUUUUGCCAAUUUCUACUACAUCAUCGGUAUCCUGUAGACACCUGAAUUCUCUUCGUGUGUCCUUCUCUGUUUUUCAUUCCUUACUUUCGUUCUGGUAUCCUGGCGGUCUGGGAGAGAGACGACAAGUUGCAGAACAUAGAAGAAAUGUUCACGAUCCCAGCAUGUGGGUUAAAACUCAAAAGAACCCAACUGAGUGAAGAGAAGAUAAAC
This 442-nucleotide long non-coding RNA is filed under the name Androctonus crassicauda. Lineage: Eukaryota; Metazoa; Arthropoda; Arachnida; Scorpiones; Buthidae. The record is from RNAcentral.